This is a long non-coding RNA of Apodemus sylvaticus (European woodmouse), 2067 nucleotides long. RefSeq lists it as uncharacterized. The transcript has 3 exons. The record is from RefSeq and is a predicted model, not a curated record. NCBI's taxonomy places the organism in Eukaryota, Metazoa, Chordata, Mammalia, Rodentia, Muridae.
CGCCCACAGGAGGAACUGUUCCAACAGCUUCAAUCAUUUGUUCCUCCCACAGUGGCCAUAGGAAACCACUUAAAGCUCAGCACAGCUCUGUCCUUCCCGGGAGGACCCAAGGCAGCAGAGGCCCAGUGCGGAAGACUGGGAAAGACUGACUCUAGCCCGACCUACCCUGGAACUCUCUGUAUGGUGGUCUUGCUUGCAGCUCUCAUUUCCCAGUUAGCUCUGAGGUGGGACUGGAGGUAGGAGGACUGAAAAAUCAGGAGUGGAGGGCUGGAGGUGAAGCCCCAGACUCGACCUGCAGCACCUCAUAACCUGACCUGGUGGUGCGUUCCUGUAUGCCUAGCCUUGGAAGGUGGAGGCAGGAAGAGCAGGAGUUCCUUGUCAUCUUCAGCUGUGCAGGGAGUUUGAGGCUAGCCUGGGUUAUAUUAGAGCAUGCCUAAAACACAGUUACGAGGAACAAAAUCGGGAGCUCUGGUUUGGGGGACAAGGAAGACUUUAACAAUGUGGUCUGCUGGGUAUCAGCCAGGUGCCCUGAAUCCUGCCACAGCUUAAAGGGCGGUGCUGCCCUGUGUUGGUGGCAGUACUGUGUUAAUGGCCGUACUGUGAGUCCUGAGGUCCUUGCACACAGUAGGUUCUUUAGGCUUCAUUUGCUCUCAUGGUAUGUAUCUGAGGCUGGGACUCAGUGUGCCUGUCUGAGCCUGAGGGCUGGGAAUGUGACAGAACUCUUUGAGGGAGGUGCUGUUUACAUCACAGACUCCCCAGAUCCCUGGGCUGGGUUCUGACAGAGGAUGUUGGUGUAGUAUGGGCAUCACUGUUAGAAGCCUUCCUUACAGCCAAAGCCAGUCCGCAGGCCACUUUAUUUAACCUCUCUGAUCUCUUUCUGCCUUUGUGAACUGGGAAGAGCAAUGCCUACCUUACCCAGUGGUGGUGAGAUAAGACGGCGGGUAAAGUACAAGGCCCGGUACAAAGUACGUACGUACAGCAGCUAAAAAUAAGUAUUUCAGGCCCUCCCUCCUCUCUUUUCCACUCUUGUCAUUUUGCCUCCCUCCCUUUCUUUUUACUUUUCUCUAUGGCCUGUCACCAGCUAGUUCCUCCCUGUUACUUGUUCAUUUUCUAACUCACUUGAUUCCUGCGUUUGUUUUCAAGCCUGCCAGCCUGUGCCUGGCACCCCGAGGCACCCACCAUUGCUGGAGGAAUGGAUGAAGGAGGGGAAGCUGACCUAUAGACAGCCUUCUAGAUACUUCCAAGUCGCAUUGCUCACUAAGGGUUCUUAUGAAAGAACGUGAGGGCUGAUGUACAAAUAGAGCAUAGCACAGACAGACAGAGCACAGACAGACAGAGCACAGACAGACAGACAGCACAGACAGACAGACAGACAGACAGAGCUUGGGGAGUGGGCACAGCACAGACAGACAGAGCACAGACAGACAGACAGAGCUCGGGGAGUGGGCACAGCUCAGACAGACAGAGCACAGACAGAGCUCGGGGAGUGGGCACAGCACAGACAGAGCUCAGGGAGUGGGCGCAGCACAGACAGACAGAGCACAGACAGACAGACAGAGCUCGGGGAGUGGGCACAGCUCAGACAGACAGACAGAGCUCAGGGAGUGAGUGGGUGGACCUCUCAGAGUUCACAGAUGUGAGUGCCAAGUGCAGGGAUGUGAUGUGACUGAGGAACUACCAACCCGGGAAGAAGAAACCACCGGUAAGGCUUUUAAUACAUAUUUUAGAUGUUACAUUACAGAUGUGUGAGUUUUAAUACAUAUUUUAGAAGUUACAUUACAGAUGUGUGAGUUGGUCCUUUCCUUAUACCAAGUGGGUCUCCAGGAUUAAACUCAGACUGUCAGGCUUUGUGACGAGUACCUUGAGUCAUGUCACCUAGUUUUAUUCUUUAUUAUCUGUCUAAGGGCGAAGGUCGUGUUGAAUAACAUCUGUACACUCACCUUACAACUUAUGUUUGAAGCUGUUCAUCCGCCCAUUGAUCCGCAUGCAGUCAGCACAGAGGAUUGUUUGGUCCAUGCUGCCAUCUGGUGGACAACUGGAGCAAGGUUUCUUAGGCCUGGGGAUCGG